Molecule: long non-coding RNA, 768 nt
Filed under: Ursus americanus (American black bear)
Lineage: Eukaryota; Metazoa; Chordata; Mammalia; Carnivora; Ursidae
Description: lncRNA (ENSUAMG00000001166.1)
Source: RNAcentral
UCAGACAGCUAAGGAGCUCAGAAUAGCACCGGCAGCAGGAAUGGGUCAAGCACUGCCCCUGUCCUUGGGGGCCGGCCUCUGCACCAGGCCAUGCUCCUCCCCUCCCCGCAUCCUUCCUGAAGCCGUCCUGCUCCCAGACCUCCUGCCACUAAGAAGACACUGAGGAAGACACUGAAAAUGCAGCGCGGUGCGGCCCCAGCGCCCCCGGCAGCGCCUCCCCUCAGCACCAGCAGGCGUCCGUCUCAGGCUGGCUCCCCAGGGCAGCAGGAAGCCGUCCGGCUCCACAGGCGACCUGCCGCCUGAAUGACCGACAUGCGGCCGCUCAGCAGCCACACCGGCUGGCUGCAAGUGCAGAGCCAGGCGGACAAAGCAGACCAUUAAGAAGCGACACAGAGGCUUUUGCCUCCGGCCCAGGCGGGUAUCAGGGCUGUCGGGGCCCAGGACAAGAACCCAGCCUGGGGAGGAAGAGGCAGUGCUGGUAUCACAGAACCCUCCAUGGAGGGGCGAGGAGCUCGCUGUCCCACCUCCUUCAGCCCUGCAGCCACGGUAAUGAGCACGGGACUGUGUACCAGGGUCUCCUGUGGAAUCAGCAGCUCGUGAGCAGAGGAACAUCAGAAAGGGCUCUUCUGGUGAAUGAAUGGUACUGAAGGUAUGUGGGUGGGGACACUUCGGACUGGGACCCGAGGAGUGCGUCCAGCACGGGUCGGGUGUCCUGGUGACUGGUGCUCCUGACUCGGGAGGCCCCACGGGGGCCGGAGCACCUACGGG